RNAcentral lists this transfer RNA (76 nucleotides) under Legionella sp. Its description in RNAcentral is "tRNA-Val". It matches the Rfam family "tRNA". Rfam says of the family: Transfer RNA (tRNA) molecules are approximately 80 nucleotides in length. The record is from RNAcentral. Lineage: Bacteria; Pseudomonadati; Pseudomonadota; Gammaproteobacteria; Legionellales; Legionellaceae. RNAcentral also lists the same sequence under 11 other names.
GGGUGCUUAGCUCAGCUGGGAGAGCAUCGCCCUUACAAGGCGAGGGUCACAGGUUCGAUCCCUGUAGCACCCACCA